This 497-nucleotide ribosomal RNA is filed under the name uncultured bacterium. RNAcentral describes it as "partial 16S ribosomal RNA". It matches the Rfam family "Bacterial small subunit ribosomal RNA", at positions 28 to 507 of the family's 1533-position model. The record is from RNAcentral.
GAUGAACGCUGGCGGCGUGCCUAAUACAUGCAAGUCGAGCGAACAGAUGAGGAGCUUGCUCCUGUGACGUUAGCGCCGGACGGGUUAGUAACACGUGGGUAACAUACCUAUAAGACUGGGAUAACUUCCGGAAACCGGAGCUAAUACCGGAUAAUAUAUUGAACCGCAUGGUUCACUAGUGAAAGACGGUUUUGCUGUCACUUAUAGAUGGAACCGCGCCGCAUUAGGUAGUUGGUAAGGUAACGGCAUUCCCAGGCAACGAUGCGUAGCGGACAUGAGGGGGUCGUUGGCUAGACUGGAAGUGAGAAACGGUACAGACUCUGGCGGGGAGCAGCGGUAGAGAAUCUUACGGGAGGGGGGAGUGGGGGAUGGUGGAACGCCGCGGCAGUGAUGAUGGACUUCUGAUGGUAAAGUGAUGUAAUUAGGGAGGAAGAAAUGUGUAAGUAACUAUGCACGUCUUGACGGUACCUGAAGAGAAAGCCACGGCUAACUACGUG